UGAUUCUAACAGGGAGAGAGAGAUAUUGGGGAAGAGAACCACUGGGCUUUUGAGAUGAUAGAAUGGAAGCCUGAAACUUGCCACCACCUGGAAAGGGUUUCCUGAAUGAAGCCAACAUAGGAGAGCAUAGACACAGCCUGGAAGCCACUCAACUAGAUGAUUCUGUAAUUCUCUGGAAGAAGACAGGAGAGACUCUGAAUACGGGACGAGACCAGCUGUGCCCUCUAACGGGCCUUAUGGGAGAAGAGGGUGCAUCUGCAUCAGCCUCCACUCCUUGUUCACCUCUUUGGAGCAGGCACACUUACAAACUACACUGGAUUGGGGAAGGGGAGUGUGUUCUUUCUGUCUGCCCAGUGAAGGAUGCCUCAGACCACCACCGAUCUAUGGAAUGCUGAUGCUCUUUGCCAGUGGAAUGAGCAUUUUCUUCUUGAUGUGAGCGUUGUUGACAUUUUCAUCAGCAGCCCAGGCUCUAAAAGCCACAUCUUGGCAAGAGAAGAGGUGAAAACUUACUCAAGCCUUUGCUCCAGGCCAUCA
Molecule: long non-coding RNA, 534 nt
Organism: Suricata suricatta (meerkat)
Lineage: Eukaryota; Metazoa; Chordata; Mammalia; Carnivora; Herpestidae
Exons: 3
Source: RefSeq, a predicted model, not a curated record